ACGCUCGACACCUACGGGAGGAGCAGUGGGGAAUAUUGCACAAUGGGGGAAACCCUGAUGCAGCGACGCCGCGUGAAGGAAGAAGUAUCUCGGUAUGUAAACUUCUAUCAGCAGGGAAGAAAAUGACGGUACCUGACUAAGAAGCCCCGGCUAACUACGUGCCANNCGCGAGUAUCNGNGGCGNGNGAGAG
Molecule: ribosomal RNA, 191 nt
Filed under: uncultured bacterium
Lineage: Bacteria
Description: partial 16S ribosomal RNA
Rfam family: Bacterial small subunit ribosomal RNA
Source: RNAcentral